AUCACUUCUCGGCCUUUUGGCUAAGAUCAAGUGUAGGAAAGACUUGCUUUGUGGGGAGAGGUGGGCCACUGAGAAUUGAGCUCAGUGUCCCUGACUGACCUGCCCUGUGCUGUGUGCGGUGUCAUGGCUCCCUCUGGUGGCCACGGAUUUGCAGUGCGCUCUGCGUUCUGCUGGAGACCU
Molecule: small nuclear RNA, 180 nt
Filed under: Rhinolophus ferrumequinum (greater horseshoe bat)
Lineage: Eukaryota; Metazoa; Chordata; Mammalia; Chiroptera; Rhinolophidae
Description: U2 spliceosomal RNA (ENSRFEG00010020828.1)
Rfam family: U2 spliceosomal RNA
About the family: U2 is a small nuclear RNA (snRNA) component of the spliceosome (involved in pre-mRNA splicing). Complementary binding between U2 snRNA (in an area lying towards the 5' end but 3' to hairpin I) and the branchpoint sequence (BPS) of the intron results the bulging out of an unpaired adenosine, on the BPS, which initiates a nucleophilic attack at the intronic 5' splice site, thus starting the first of two transesterification reactions that mediate splicing.
Source: Rfam by way of RNAcentral